This 381-nucleotide ribosomal RNA is filed under the name uncultured eukaryote. Its description in RNAcentral is "partial 18S ribosomal RNA". It matches the Rfam family "Eukaryotic small subunit ribosomal RNA", at positions 592 to 976 of the family's 1831-position model. The record is from RNAcentral.
CAAUAGCGUAUAUUAAAGCUGUUGCGGUUAAAAAGCUCGUAGUUGGAUUUCUGUCAAGGACAACUGGUCCGCCCCUCGGGUGAGCACAUAGUUUGGUCUUGGCAUCUUGUUGGAAACUGUUGCUGCACUUGGUUGUGUGGCGCAGUGUCCAGCACUUUCACUUUGAGGAAAUUGGAGUGUUUCAAGCAGGCACAUGCCUUUGGACACAGUAGCAUGGAAUAAUUAGAUUGGGCUUUUGCUCCAACUUGUAGGUUUCUGGAGCUGAGGUGAGAAUUAAUGGGGAUUGUUGGGGGCAUCCGAAUUUAGCCGUCAGAGGUGAAAUUCUUGGAUCUGCUAAAGACGGACAACUGCGAAAGCGUUUGCCCAGGAUGUUUUCAUUGA